UUUCCGUAGGUGAACCUGCGGAAGGAUCAUUAACACUAUUAAUUAGUAUCCAAAACCUUUUGGAUCAACCAACAACUUAUACGAACCCAUUUGUUAUUCUUUUCCCUUGCUUUUUUUCUAUAACUACAACUUUUGAUAAUCUUUGUGUCUGAUUCAUUUUUUUCUCUCCCGAAAAGGAAGGAAAAAACAAAAAUCUAAACGCAAUACAACUCUUAACAACGGAUAUCUUGGCUCUC
RNAcentral lists this unclassified non-coding RNA (236 nucleotides) under plant metagenome. Its description in RNAcentral is "partial contains small subunit ribosomal RNA, internal transcribed spacer 1, and 5.8S ribosomal RNA". The record is from RNAcentral.